AACGAACGCUGGCGGCAUGCCUAACACAUGCAAGUCGAACGAGACCUUCGGGUCUAGUGGCGCACGGGUGCGUAACGCGUGGGAACCUGCCCUUAGGUUCGGAAUAACUCCCCGAAAGGGGUGCUAAUACCGGAUAAUGUCUUCGGACCAAAGAUUUAUCGCCUUUGGAUGGGCCCGCGUUGGAUUAGCUAGUUGGUAGGGUAAAAGCCUACCAAGGCGACGAUCCAUAGCUGGUCUGAGAGGAUGAUCAGCCACACUGGGACUGAGACACGGCCCAGACUCCUACGGGAGGCAGCAGUGGGGAAUAUUGGACAAUGGGCGAAAGCCUAUCCAGCAAUGCCGCGUGAGUGAUGAAGGCCUUAGGGUUGUAAAGCUCUUUUACCCGGGAUGAUAAUGACAGUACCGGGAGAAUAAGCUCCGGCUAACUCCGUG
RNAcentral lists this ribosomal RNA (432 nucleotides) under uncultured bacterium. RNAcentral's name for it is "partial 16S ribosomal RNA". It matches the Rfam family "Bacterial small subunit ribosomal RNA", at positions 29 to 507 of the family's 1533-position model. The record is from RNAcentral.